This is an unclassified non-coding RNA of Erinaceus europaeus (western European hedgehog), 324 nucleotides long. Its record names the gene 7SK. It matches the Rfam family "7SK RNA". From Rfam's summary of the family: 7SK was discovered as an abundant small nuclear RNA in the mid-70s but a possible function has only recently been suggested. Two independent studies have found that 7SK RNA binds the CDK9/cyclin T complex (known as elongation factor P-TEFb). P-TEFb activates transcription by phosphorylating the C-terminal domain of RNA polymerase II. The record is from Ensembl. Lineage: Eukaryota; Metazoa; Chordata; Mammalia; Eulipotyphla; Erinaceidae.
GGAUAUGAGGGCACUCUGGCUGCGACAUCUGUCACCCCAUUGAUUGCCAGGGUUGAUUUGGCUCAUCUGGCUGGCUAGGCGGGUGUCACCUUCCUCCCUCACUGCUCCAUGUGUGUCCCUCCAAAGCUGCACACUCAGUUGAGAAUAAAAUGGCCUGAAGAGGACAGCCUUCCCUGAAUAGAGAUGGACCAGUCUUGGGUCAAGGGUAUGCAAGUAUCUGGGCUCCCCUGCUAGAACCUCCAAACAAGCUCUCGAGGUCCAAAUUGCAUUGUCAAAGACUGGGGUUCAAGCCUCCAGUCCCCAACUGCAGUGUGAGCAGUUUCA